UCUCAACCAGGGCCACCUCCAUCUCAACCAGGGCCACCUCCAUCUCAACCAGGGCCACCUCCAUCUCAACCAGGGCCACCUCCGCCUCCGCCUCCAUCUCAACCUCCCCCAGCAUCAUCCCACCAUUCUAAAACAUGGUUCUAGUGUGAUAAAGUCGAACAGAAAAAAAGAAUAAGACUUGCUUGGUGUAUCAAAUAAUAUGUGAUGUGAAAACUUCUAAGUGUCCCCUAAAGAAAACGAAGUGUACCUUACAGAAAACGGAGUGCGAGUUGUUUUACCUUAAUGAAAAUGAAGUGAUGGGUUGUUUUUGUAUGAGGUGAACAAAACACAGUUGCUUCGAGACCAAAGAAAAUGGGUAAGUAACAGAAUUAACCCAAACGAUGGUAGGCUUCGAUAAUUUUAACACAAAUGAUAUGGACUGUUAGUUUCAACCCAAAGAAAGUGGAGUGUUAGUUGCCUCUGUCCCCAAAGAGAACAAAAACUAGUUAAUUUUGCUUCAAAGAAAACGAAUUGCUGUUUGACUUUUGUUAAAAUAUAUGAUGUUUUUGGUGAUUUAUCCUUGAAGAAAACGGGCUGGUAGCUGGCUCAGUUGCAAAGAAAAUGAACUGCUAGUUACAUUAACUUAAUAGAAAAUGAACUGCUAGUUACAUUAACCUAAUAGAAAAUGGACUGCUAGUUAUUCUUGGCACUUUAAAAGAUAUUGAGUGAGAAGUUUGACAGAGUGAAGGUGAGGACAGACACGAACACCAAGAUGGCCAAGAAAUAUUACGUUAUUUUUAAACCCGGUCUAAACCAAACCUGAACCUGACUUAAACCAAACCUGAAACUGACUUAAACCAAACCUGAACCUGACUUAAACCAAACCUGAACCUGACUUAAACCAAACCUGAACCUGACUUAAACCAAACCUGAAUCUGACUUAAACCAAAUCUUAACCUGUCCUAUACCAAACCUGAACGUUACCUAAACCAAGUCUUAACCUGACUUAAACCAAACCUGAACAUGACCUAAAGAAAACCUUACCCCUACUUAAACCAAACCUGAACCCGAGUUAAACCCUACAAGUUGCGAAAGACAGAUUAAAUAUUUGUUAAGAAAAAGGACAAUUUACUGCCAUUGUGGGCAUAGUUCAAUGCCCACACCAGCGCCCACAUCUACGCCCACACCCACGUCCGCAUCUACCACAACACCCAUGCCGACGACAACGCAUACGCCCACCACAACGAAAACAACAACGCCCACGCUCAUGAGGACGCCCACACUCAGGAGAGGCCCCACCAUGACCACAGCCUCCCUCACGCCCACACUGAAGGUGAUGGGCGCCAGAGUGGUGAUGGGCGGUGUUCCUCACUGCCUCUGCCUCACACUCCUCAUCACAUUACUGGCAGGAUGGGCGGUGGGUCGCUGGACUGCUAUGGCCUCAACAACGUCUCAGUGCCUGUGGG
This 1445-nucleotide long non-coding RNA is filed under the name Homarus americanus (American lobster). RNAcentral describes it as "uncharacterized LOC121875152, transcript variant X1". The record is from RNAcentral. Lineage: Eukaryota; Metazoa; Arthropoda; Malacostraca; Decapoda; Nephropidae.